This 732-nucleotide ribosomal RNA is filed under the name uncultured Leptotrichia sp. RNAcentral's name for it is "bacterial SSU rRNA". It matches the Rfam family "Bacterial small subunit ribosomal RNA", at positions 28 to 776 of the family's 1533-position model. Lineage: Bacteria; Fusobacteriati; Fusobacteriota; Fusobacteriia; Fusobacteriales; Leptotrichiaceae. The record is from RNAcentral.
GAUGAACGCUGACAGAAUGCUUAACACAUGCAAGUCUUUGGCGAAGCUGUGCUUGCACAGCCUAGCCAAGGCGGACGGGUGAGUAACGCGUAAGGAACUUGCCCUGCAGUCAGGGAUAACAGACGGAAACGACUGAUAAGACCUGGUAAAGUCAGGCGGACUCAUGUCCAGCCUGAUGAAAAGAGAUGCUGCAGGAGAGCCUUGCGUCCUAUUAGCUUGUUGGUGGGGUAACGGCCCACCAAGGCGAUGAUAGGUAGCCGGCCUGAGAGGGUGGACGGCCACAAGGGGACUGAGAUACGGCCCUUACUCCUACGGGAGGCAGCAGUGGGGAAUAUUGGACAAUGGGGGCAACCCUGAUCCAGCAAUUCUGUGUGCACGAAGAAGGUUUUCGGAUUGUAAAGUGCUUUCAGCAGGGAAGAAAAAAAUGACGGUACCUGCAGAAGAAGCGACGGCUAAAUACGUGCCAGCAGCCGCGGUAAUACGUAUGUCGCAAGCGUUAUCCGGAAUUAUUGGGCAUAAAGGGCAUCUAGGCGGCCAGAUAAGUCUGGGGUGAAAACUUGCGGCUCAACCGCAAGCCUGCCCUGGAAACUAUGUGGCUAGAGUACUGGAGAGGUGGACGGAACUGCACGAGUAGAGGUGAAAUUCGUAGAUAUGUGCAGGAAUGCCGAUGAUGAAGAUAGUUCACUGGACGGUAACUGACGCUGAAGUGCGAAAGCUAGGGGAGCAAACAGG